AGUCACGAGAUUUACCUCCCUUAUGUGGUGGUGGUACGGUGCGCUCCUCCUCGCGACCCUUCCGAACUUGCUCCUCACUGCCGCUAGCCAUGUCGUGAAUGUGCCCAGCUAACCCACGAACCCUUUUGUAGCGUGGCUCUGAUACCAACUGUCACGGACCGGAUAACUCCCUAGCUAUCUUCCGUGCGGCCUUAGUCACAAUCCGCCCCUGCGAUGUGCUAAGUCAGCCUUUCCCNNNN
This 239-nucleotide long non-coding RNA is filed under the name Nicotiana benthamiana. Its description in RNAcentral is "long non-coding RNA (NBEN_LNC020662)". The record is from RNAcentral. Lineage: Eukaryota; Viridiplantae; Streptophyta; Magnoliopsida; Solanales; Solanaceae.